RNAcentral lists this long non-coding RNA (5251 nucleotides) under Manihot esculenta (cassava). RNAcentral describes it as "long non-coding RNA (MESC_LNC000912)". Lineage: Eukaryota; Viridiplantae; Streptophyta; Magnoliopsida; Malpighiales; Euphorbiaceae. The record is from RNAcentral.
GGGAUCUCAAUAAUGACAAGGUAUUUGUUUAGCCUAUUGACAAGGUAUUUUCUUUGUAAUCUCAAAGUGAAGUCAGCUAAUGUAUUAAUAUGGGUUCAUACAUUCUGAAGUUGGAGGCAUGAAAACUAAAUAACGUCAUUGCUUUUUCAUUUGUUACUGGACACUAUUCUGCAACUGCUUAGUAAUUCCUAGUCCUCAAUAAUGCAGCAUUCUAUUGUCGGAUCUAACUUGCUUGGAAAAGACAUAGCUGUCUCUUGCUCUACCGUGUCACCUCACAUAGCAAAGAUCUGACUUCUUGACAAAUAAUUAAAUCAAACAAGUGCAUAAACUUGACUGUAAUAAUUUUGUGAAUGUUGCUUACAGCCAAAAUACAUGUGAUACAGAGAAAGUGUAUAUUGUUACUCUCUCUAGAGGAUGACCAAGAUCCUUUAGAGUAUGACAUAGCUUCAUCCAAUACAUGUCCCAGAUGCUACACUCAUAGGAUCUAAAAUCCUUAAUUUUGAUCAAAAUUAUACUUAAAUUAGUUACCAGAUUCCAUCUAAUGAAAGAUCCAAAAUCCCAAGUAUAUAUAUAUAUAUUGGGUGGGGGGGAUGAAAAAGAAAAGGUAAACAUGCAAUACCUGCCGAUGAAGACCAUCCCAGUAGAAAAGAAGUGAUGCUCUAGGAUUUUCCAAUAAUUGCUGUGCUUUUCUACUUUCAUAAUUGGUGUACCUGAAAGUGUAAAAUUGGCAGCAAUUCUCAAAACCACAAUCACUUCUACAAAUACAAUAAGGAUCUCAUUACUACACAACCAUUACAGUAAUGGACUAAUACUAACCAGACAAACCCAUCCUUAUCAACUCCUUUCAACAAUACCAUUCUUGAUGAGCUGCAACAGGAAGUAACAUGACAUACAAAGACUAAUCAGGUCAUAAACAAUGGUAUAACAUGGGCAUUCAGAAUGAAGCAUUUCCACAAUAUAAUCAAUAAAAUUAGUAAAAUAUGACAAGUUUUUGAACAAUACAACCAAUGUCAUACUGGAAGACACAUUUUUCUCUUCAUUAAACAGGGGAAAAUAUUUGCAGUAUUGAACCUUAAUCAUCUCAUUUUCAUCCAUAAACAUCAAUAAUGCAAGAGAAAUUUAACAUUAAGAAAACCUACUAAGAAAUUUUUUUUAGAACAACUCCAAAUGAGAAAAUUGUCUCACAGCAUUCAUCUUUAUAAUAUACAUGGAUCUAGUAAUGCUAAAGCCUAAAAGUGUACAGACUGAUGCUUUAAGAAGGACGUUGAAAAGGUGACUUUAGAACCAAAUUUGUAAUGUUGAACAAGCAUCAGGCGAAGAUACUGUUCACACUUUGAGAGGAAGCUCUUAUGAUCUCAUAUAGGUCUAAGACCCUUUGGACCAACUGAAUUUUAUUUAUCACACCGAAUUGUUCUGUUGUUUUUGUGGUGAUUUAUUUAGUUCUCUGUUUUCCAAAUAUCGAAUGGGCCUGGGCUGAGAAGAGGCAAAAGAAAAAGAAACCCUGACAAGGAAGGGCUGUGUGAUCUUUUUGUUUCCUGUGUGUCAGUUAUACUGCAAGCUACUUUCGUUGUUAUGUUAUUCCACAACGAAACUCAUAUUCUGCAAGUAUAAGAUGGUUAUUCUUGGCUUUAAGAGAUCGCUAAGUUUAAACUUAAGGGAAAGGGACUUACAAUUUUACAUUAGUGCUAAACAAAAUCAUGACGUGGAACAUGAAAUCUUGUUAAGAAAAUGUUGGAUGCAGAAACUGAGUGAAGUCUUAUGUCUUCUUCUUCUUCCCCUUUUUUUAAUGUGGGAAGGUUAAAGUUCUCAAGGGGAGACAAUAUCCUUUUUUUCCCCUAGCUGUAAUGCAAUAACUCUGUGCUGUGAUUCUGCAGCCCCUAUAUCAAUAAGUAAGAGUUGUUGGCUGAAGAUAAAAGGAUGAAAGUAUCCUAUUGUAAUGUUAAGGAUGGUCUACAAUUUGAUCAUACACCCAACUCUCUAAACAUGCUGAUGCAUAGUAGUACUUUCAAAUGCAUUCUUUAAAAAGCAAAAUAUCAACUAAACAAAUCGUUAUUUAUUUAAGAUCAUAAACAUCCAUAUCAAAGCAUUAGUUUACCCAUUUGGAAGAAUGGUUGUUGCUAAUGUUUUGAGUGUCAACCAAAAAAUAGCAAAAGAAGAUGAACUUACGGUUUUCCAUCCUUUCCAACAGUUGACAAGCACAUAGCAUUUGGCUCCUUCAAUCCAGCAGCCACAGCAUCAUCAAACCAUUUGAGAAACUGCAAGAUAUCAAAUGGCUUAAUUUUGAUACUUAAAUUCAUUUUGCAAUGGCUGUUAGUCUGUUACCAAAAAAAAAAGGUGAAAAAAAAAAGUAAUAAUGGUCAAGUUGUUAAAUUGCAAGCAUCAAGGGAAAGGAAUUCAAAUGUAGAUUAGCCCUAAUACCAUCAAGACAAACCUGAUCAAUGGGAUUAGCCUCCACCUGGUCCUCAAGGAAUUCAGGAGAAAUAUAGUUCUCCCUUAGAGCUGAUAUAUCGAUUUGUGGAGGCUUUCCAAUUUGGACACACAUAGAAGCACCAGGAUAUUGUGGGAGAUGCAGCUUAUAUUUCUCCACUAUCGAUGGUGGGACAAACCUACCGCCUAGAAAGUGGUGAGGACCAGAAAAUUUCUUGGCACACAACUUUGGAGCAGUCAAAGAAACCUAUAAAAUACUAAUAUUAACAAUAAGGUUUAUUUCAUUAUAACAAAAAUUAUGUAAAAGUAUUAAAAAAAAAAAAAAAGAACAUACCAACAUGUGAGGUUUGAUUCCUUCACCAGCAACAUCACCUUCUUCAACAUGCCAUCCAGAUGGAAUAUCUACAGAGACAAUAACCGAGGACUUUUGGCGAGUUUGAUUGUACUUAUGCAAGUUAACCAAUUUUUGGAUUAGAUCAUCAAAAGGUGGUCUUGGAGAACCUGAAAUAUUUGAAGAUGUAAAAAUUAGAAGUCAAAUAGGAAUAAAUGAGGCUUCAUGAGUAAAGAAAACAAAAGGCCCAUAUUUAGAUAAAUUAUAUAGGUUAGCCAGGCAUAUUAUAGACCUCAGUCAUUAAAAGAACUCAGAUCAGGUAGCAUUGCUUUGAGGAGCUGAAAUUUUCACAAGCUAAAUAAAAUGGCACGAGAAUAUUAAACAAUAAUCCAACAACAAAAUCUUAAGAGCUAAAAUUGUAACAGAAAUUCUCACUUUUAGCAUUUGCAUCCAAUAUUCCAUACACUUACAUAUUAUUCAAGAGAAUAAAUAAAAAUAAUCUUAACUUGAUUGACAUUUACUAGAAACCCCAAGAAAAAUUGAAAUAAUCUUUCUAAGACAUCAGAUUGAGCAUGAAUAGACAUGAACAAAAGCAAAACAAGGGAUUACCAUGGAAUGAGAACCCAAACAUUGCAUCUACUAGAACAUCAAAGUCCUUUGACAACUCUGAAGGCAGAUCUCCCACUGUCAAGAAAGGGACCGCCAAUGAUUCCAGCUACAAAAUUACUAAAUCAAAUAAGAACUCCAAAGAACUGCAGUAUCUGGUGGUUCAAGUACAUUUGAACUUGUGUCACCCCAUACCUGAGUAACCAGACCAGUAAAAAGAGGUUUGGCUGUACGCUUUGGAUAACAAACAAACGGUUUAUAUCCAAAGUGAUGCAGAUGGCGAGCUGCUACCAACCCAUCACCUCCGUUGUUCCCUGGACCGCAAAUUGCAAGAACACGAUUGUACUCGCUUGGCUUGUAAACCUGCCAACAGAUUCAAUUUCAAAAAGAAACCUGAAUUGAGUUCUUAGUUGCCCAGCAGAUUGAAUUUUCUUAAAUAACGAUCUUGUUUCUUUCCCCUUUUCUGCAAAAAUCAUGGAAAUUAUAUAGGUAUAAUGAUAUUAGCUUGUUAAAUAAACCAAAAAAAUUACUAAUCGUCAAAAUACACAGAAACGUCAAGAUGUAUGCACAAGUAAACUUUCAAAGUGUUCAUCUAAGUUCCACAGCAAAAAUACAAGUACAACAAGAAAAAUUGAUCUGGUUCUUUAACUAAGCAAACUAAUAAAAUUAGUCAAUGAAUGUAAAAGUCCAUAGUAAAAAGACGAUAGCAAAGAGGGGGAAGUUUGCAAUGGUAGACAGAAAGGGCAGGAUGGAGCAGUUAAGGCCACAGCCCCCUCCACAAAAAAAAAAAAAAAACGGUGAGAAACAGGUUCAAGGAUUAGAGGGAAGCAGCAAAAGAAAUAGCACAACAAGAAACUUUUCGUAUUUUCAGUCAGGAACUGAUAACAAUGUUAAACUUUUGACGAAUAUAAAUUCAAAAGCAAGUAACGAAGAAACUAUCUGCGAGAAACUAAUAACAAUUAUCAUAAAAAUUAAAGCAUUACCUCUGCUAUAGAAGUUGCAACACUCAAACCAGCCAAUUCCUGCAAACGCCAUUAGAAACAGUAAAAUGUAGCAAGAGAGAAAUGUAAAAGUAAAAGCCAUCUAAAAAAAUUCAAACGGAGAUAUAUCGAUAAGAUUCCUAACAUCGUAAUCCAAGCAUUUACAAGUUAUAUAUAGUUGUUAGAGUGUGAGAAUCCACAUAGAAUUCUACACUGACCAUCAACUGAUCGACGCUAAAUCCGAGAGGGCCCAUGAGAAUCUCAUCAAUCUCCGCGGCAUCACGCUGCGUGAGGUAGGAUAUGGACUCAGGACUUGUCAUGCUUUGCAUUACUCGUGUCGCUUUUACAAAUGAAAUUGAAGCAAAGGAACGGAUUGCAGGAAGCGAUAUCGGACAGGUAGAACCCUAAAAAAAGGUCAUCGGAAGUUAGAGAGCGAUGUUACGCAGUGAAGUUUGAAAGUCAGAGAGAACUUCAGUGAAUACCCAGGCGUUUUUGGAGAGGGAAUAGUGAGAGCGAGAGGCAUGGAAAUGGAAGAAGCAUUUAUGGCCGUGGAAGAGAGCGAACAUGUCAUUUUGGGCUUUUGCGUAGCUACCAGAUUCUUCUCAAUUCACGUUCUCUCCAUUCUGGCUGCCGCUAGGUAAAUCCUGAUUUCGCAAAACCCAGGCACACUCGAAAUUUCGCGGACCGUUAUUUUGGCGGUUGGCCCAUUUCACCGGUAUCGUUCCAUGUGGAAAUUAUGUUAUUCUUUUUUUUAUUUUAAUUUAAUGUUAAUAAAAAUUUGAAUUUAAGAUUUUGGAUAUUAUUAGACUUAUUACACUUUUUUUUGAGUGAGUUAAAAAAAGGAAGUUUAUAUUGGCAUGCCAUCUGAAAAAAUGGAAAUUUGUUUUUUAGCUAAGAUAUAUAUACA